This 460-nucleotide ribosomal RNA is filed under the name uncultured bacterium. Its description in RNAcentral is "partial 16S ribosomal RNA". It matches the Rfam family "Bacterial small subunit ribosomal RNA", at positions 338 to 795 of the family's 1533-position model. The record is from RNAcentral.
CCUACGGGCGGCAGCAGUGAGGAAUAUUGGUCAAUGGACGAGAGUCUGAACCAGCCAAGUAGCGUGAAGGAUGACUGCCCUAUGGGUUGUAAACUUCUUUUAUAUGGGAAUAAAAUGUUCCACGUGUGGGAUUUUGUAUGUACCAUACGAAUAAGGAUCGGCUAACUCCGUGCCAGCAGCCGCGGUAAUACGGAGGAUCCGAGCGUUAUCCGGAUUUAUUGGGUUUAAAGGGAGCGUAGGUGGAUUGUUAAGUCAGUUGUGAAAGUUUGCGGCUCAACCGUAAAAUUGCAGUUGAAACUGGCAGUCUUGAGUACAGUAGAGGUGGGCGGAAUUCGUGGUGUAGCGGUGAAAUGCUUAGAUAUCACGAAGAACUCCGAUUGCGAAGGCAGUUCACUGGACUGCAACUGACACUGAGGCUCGAAAGUGUGGGUAUCAAACAGGAUUAGAUACCCCAGUAGUC